Drosophila nasuta is the source of this 910-nucleotide long non-coding RNA. RefSeq lists it as uncharacterized. The transcript is spliced from 3 exons. NCBI's taxonomy places the organism in Eukaryota, Metazoa, Arthropoda, Insecta, Diptera, Drosophilidae. The record is from RefSeq and is a predicted model, not a curated record.
GGACAAACACAAAGAUAUAAUACCCUUCUAUCCUCUUUGGUAGCGGGUAUAAAAAUCAGAAUUUGAAUUUUACAAAUGCGACCACGUAACAAAUCGAAGAACUUCUCCAACUGCUGCGAAGCACGUAGCCAUAGCGACUCACUCAGGAGGGGGGAAAAGUCGAGAUGAGACGAGAUGUUGUUUCAUCUUUGUUUUAGUCCGAUCGAGACAUUCGAAAUGGGUAGAAUAAAAAUAAACGUCAUUUUAUUAAUAAUCCUCAAACUAUUCUUGGUGGGCACAACAACAGGAGAAGAGACUUGCGAGAACGACCGAGAAAUGGACAAACUGUGCGGCGGUCAUACCUAUAAAAGUGUGAAGCCUUUGCUAGACUACUUUAAACAAGUUCGUAAUGAGUUAGACCAAAGUGAAAUUAAGGAAAAGUAUAUAAGUGAAAUAAAUGCUGAUCUUAUGAAGAAGUAUCAUGAAAUUGUAGCAAUUCAUGAAAAGCUCAUGAAGGAGGCAUUUCAAUUAGAUGAGUAUAAAAACAAAAUAAUAAGAAAAGAAAACAAUUUGCAAUUGUGUCAAAGUAAAGUUGAUAAAUUAGAGUCUGAGAUUAAUGCACAACAAACAACUAUAAACAAAUUAACAUUUAAUGCAAAUUUUCUUGCGAGUUAUGAUGAGUGUAAAAAAGAAUUAUCAGAUAAAUCCAACAAUUUGGAAGUAUGUGAGAUUCAAUUAAAAAAACUGAAUUCUAGUGUUAUUGAAAAAGAUGAGAAAAUUUCUGAAUACUCUGCAACAAUUCAAAACAUUACAGAAAAGCAGAAAACAAUUAGUUUGAAAUUAGAAGAGAGGCAAACCAUGUUAUUUAAAAAAGAUAAAGACAUUGAAAUAUGCCAUGAAGAAAUUGUUAAAUUAAAUAGAACAUCACAUA